This 253-nucleotide ribosomal RNA is filed under the name uncultured bacterium. Its description in RNAcentral is "partial 16S ribosomal RNA". It matches the Rfam family "Bacterial small subunit ribosomal RNA", at positions 524 to 776 of the family's 1533-position model. The record is from RNAcentral.
UACGAAGGGUGCAAACGUUGCUCGGAAUUAUUGGGCGUAAAGCGCACGUAGGCGGCUUAGCAAGUCGGAAGUGAAAGCCCUCGGCUCAACCAAGGAAGUGCUUUCGAAACUGCUGAGCUUGAGUACUUAAGAGGAUCGCGGAAUUCCCGGUGUAGAGGUGAAAUUCGUAGAUAUCGGGAGGAAUACCGAUGGCGAAGGCAGCUUUCUGGCUCGUAACUGACGCUGAGAUUCGAAAGCGUGGGUAGCAAACAGG